GAUGAAGAACGCAGCGAAAUGCGAUAAGUAAUGUGAAUUGCAGAAUUCAGUGAAUCAUCGAAUCUUUGAACGCACAUUGCGCCCGCCAGUAUUCUGGCGAGCAUGCCUGUUCGAGCGUCAUUACAACCCUCAGGCCCCCGGGCCUGGCGUUGGGGAUCGGCGGAAGCCCCCUGCGGGCACAACGCCGUCCCCCAAAUACAGUGGCGGUCCCGCCGCAGCUUCCAUUGCGUAGUAGCUAACACCUCGCAACUGGAGAGCGGCGCGGCCACGCCGUAAAACACCCAACUUCUGAAUGUUGACCUCGAAUCAGGUAGGAAUACCCGCUGAACUUAAGCAUAUCAAUAAGCGGAGGA
This 353-nucleotide unclassified non-coding RNA is filed under the name soil metagenome. Its description in RNAcentral is "partial contains 5.8S ribosomal RNA, internal transcribed spacer 2, and large subunit ribosomal RNA". The stretch from base 1 to 120 matches the Rfam family "5.8S ribosomal RNA", at positions 35 to 154 of the family's 154-position model. The record is from RNAcentral.